Molecule: ribosomal RNA, 820 nt
Filed under: Paraphoma radicina
Lineage: Eukaryota; Fungi; Ascomycota; Dothideomycetes; Pleosporales; Phaeosphaeriaceae
Description: partial large subunit ribosomal RNA
Rfam family: Eukaryotic large subunit ribosomal RNA
Source: RNAcentral
AGGGAUUGCCCUAGUAACGGCGAGUGAAGCGGCAACAGCUCAAAUUUGAAAUCUGGCUCUUUCAGAGUCCGAGUUGUAAUUUGCAGAGGGCGCUUUGGUGUUGGCAGCGGUCCAAGUUCCUUGGAACAGGACGUCACAGAGGGUGAGAAUCCCGUACGUGGUCGCUAGCCUUCGCCGUGUAAAGCCCCUUCGACGAGUCGAGUUGUUUGGGAAUGCAGCUCUAAAUGGGAGGUAAAUUUCUUCUAAAGCUAAAUACUGGCCAGAGACCGAUAGCGCACAAGUAGAGUGAUCGAAAGAUGAAAAGCACUUUGGAAAGAGAGUCAAAUAGCACGUGAAAUUGUUGAAAGGGAAGCGCUUGCAGCCAGACUUGCCUGUAGUUGCUUAUCCGGACUUUUGUCCGGUGCACUCUUCUGCGGGCAGGCCAGCAUCAGUUUGGGCGGUUGGAUAAAGGUCUCUGUCAUGUACCUCUCUUCGGGGAGAACUUAUAGGGGAGACGACAUGCAACCAGCCUGGACUGAGGUCCGCGCAUCUGCUAGGAUGCUGGCGUAAUGGCUGUAAGCGGCCCGUCUUGAAACACGGACCAAGGAGUCUAACAUCUAUGCGAGUGUUUGGGUGUCAAGCCCAGACGCGUAAUGAAAGUGAACGGAGGUGGGAACCCUUUGGGUGCACCAUCGACCGAUCCUGAUGUCUUCGGAUGGAUUUGAGUAAGAGCAUGGCUGUUGGGACCCGAAAGAUGGUGAACUAUGCUUGAAUAGGGUGAAGCCAGAGGAAACUCUGGUGGAGGCUCGCAGCGGUUCUGACGUGCAAAUCGAUCGUCAAA